RNAcentral lists this transfer RNA (72 nucleotides) under Capra hircus (goat). It matches the Rfam family "tRNA". Rfam says of the family: Transfer RNA (tRNA) molecules are approximately 80 nucleotides in length. Their secondary structure includes four short double-helical elements and three loops (D, anti-codon, and T loops). The record is from Rfam by way of RNAcentral. RNAcentral also lists the same sequence under 1 other name. Lineage: Eukaryota; Metazoa; Chordata; Mammalia; Artiodactyla; Bovidae.
UCCCUGGUGGCUCAGACGGUAAAGAACCUGCCUGCAGUGCAGGAGACCCAGGUUCAGCCCCUGGGCGGGAAA